Molecule: long non-coding RNA, 2028 nt
Organism: Vespa mandarinia (Asian giant hornet)
Lineage: Eukaryota; Metazoa; Arthropoda; Insecta; Hymenoptera; Vespidae
Source: RefSeq, a predicted model, not a curated record
AUAUAUCUUUCUCUCUCUCUGUCCCUUUCGUUGGCCCCUCCAAGACGACCGGUGUGCCCCACUCCCUCCCAUGGAAGCCCUCCGCGCUACUGCGCUCAUGCUUUCCUUCCCUCUCCCACCCUCUCCGCGCAUAAACCUUCUCACUCUGUCCCUCUCCCUCUUGCUCCUCUCUCUCUCUCUCUCUCUCUCUCUCUCUUUUCUCCUAUCUAUCGCGUUCCUCGCACUCUCUCGCUCCCUCGUUGGUUCGGUACGCUGCGCGCGCUCCCUCCGGCGGAGGCCAGAGGGAGAGAAGCGGAGGGCAGAAGAGGGAGCGAGAGGAAGAUAGAGAGAGAGUAAGAGUGCAGAAACGGUGGGGCUGGCUCUGUUCGGUCUUGCGCGGCGCACACUAGUCAACCCGGAGCCACGGUCGUCGUAGGAACUGUUGUAGGAACUGUCGUAGGAACCGCCGUAGGAACCGCCGUAGGAACCGUCGUUUUCUCGUUUCUCGCGAGGGACACCGCUUGGUGCUCGUUAUUAUAUUUGUCCUCGUUUUGUUCGUCGUCGGUUCGUUCCGGCGUUUCUUUGAGAAAUUUCAAAAGAUAUCUCGAAAAAUGAAUUAAAAGAAAAAAAAAAAAAAAAAAAAAAGAAGAAAAAAGAAAGAAAAAAACAAGAAACACCAACGACAGGAGAGAGAGUGCGCGAGUGUACGGAAUAAAUUGAAGAUAUAUAGAGAGAAAAAGAGAGACUAAAUACAGAAAGAUUUUUAAUUUCUUAAGGGUGCUCUCUCUUUCUCUCUCCCUCUACGCAUACCACAAGUGAGCACACGUACGCGCGCGCGCGCGUGCGCGGGCGCAUAGUUUCCGCCGCGAAAAAGUAUUGCGUGCCCGUACGUGGACCGAUGGCAAAACUGCGGAUGGCGAUCGUGGCGCGAAGAGUCGCAAAGUUCUCUUCUACGGCGCCGCCUCGUGCUCGAAGAGUCGCGGAAGAGAAUACGACGGGGUCGUGACUGUCCCCCGCGUGCGUGCCACCAGUCGACGCCCCGAUCGAGAACGUCCGAGUUCUCUCUUCGGCUCUCGGGAGGAUCGUCAUAGAUACACCGGUCUUUUUAUCGAAGUGUUGUGCGGUGCUCUUAGAGAGUAUCGACGUUUCUUGGGACUUCCUAGUGACACCUUUAUUCCCUCUCUCUCAUUCGUUCUCUAUCUCUCUUUCUCUCUCCCUCUCUCUCCCUCUCUCUCCCUCUUUCUCUAUCUCUCUCUCUCUCUCUCUCUCUCUCUCUCUUUCUCAUUUUCUGUCUCUUCCACUGUCUCUAUCCACCGUCUUUUUUCUCCCUACCUACGUAUCUCUACCACCCCUAUCAUCCCUAACCCCCAAGAAUCCCUCGUCGACGUUGUCUCGUGCAGUGCGAAGGAAAUACACGAAUGAAUCGUUUCUCUUGUGCUAUUCGGUGAAAGUGAAUCAAAUGAUAAUAAUAAUGAUAAUCGAAAGUUGUGAAAAAAACGACGUAUGAAACGGAGGUGGUGAUCCAAAGAUUCUUUGAGAUUCUUCGUACGAUAGUAUAGGUGUGCAACGACAGUGCAUUCGACGAGGAACUUUUGCUACUUCUAUUACUACUACUGUGAUUUAUGUAUAUACACGCUCGAAGAAGAAAAGAGGAUCGAUCCUCGAAACUCGUCCCGUUUAAAUUUCUCUCUCGGUACUUCGCGGUGACUCAUUUCGGCGAAAGUAAGACGCGCCGCCCGGAAAGGAGAGUUUCUGAUCCGACGAGAAAGGAAAGACGAUUAAAAGUAUAAGCAUGUCGCGUCUUCGAACGAAGAUCAUCGUUGACGAGUACACUGGAUUCGAUAAUAACUUUAUCGUUGCCUCGGGAAAAAGCACGACGAGUUGGUUGGGAGUGAUUCGAGUGCGUGGCGAUUAGAUAUAGGGCGAUAGUUUUUCCCUAGGAUCGAAAAGAAGAGAAGAAAAGAAGGGCAAAGAAAAGAAAAGAAAAGAAAAGAAAAGAAAGGAAAAGAAAAGAAAAGGAAGGAAGGAAGGAAGGAAGGAAGGAAAGAA